This 460-nucleotide ribosomal RNA is filed under the name uncultured bacterium. Its description in RNAcentral is "partial 16S ribosomal RNA". It matches the Rfam family "Bacterial small subunit ribosomal RNA", at positions 338 to 795 of the family's 1533-position model. The record is from RNAcentral.
CCUACGGGUGGCAGCAGUGAGGAAUAUUGGUCAAUGGACGAGAGCCUGAACCAGCCAAGUAGCGUGAAGGAUGAAUGCCCAAUGGGUUGUAAACUUCUUUUAUAUGGGAAUAAAAUGUGCCACGUGUGGCCUUUUGUAUGUACCUUAUGAAUAAGGAUCGGCUAACUCCGUGCCAGCAGCCGCGGUAAUACGGAGGAUCCGAGCGUUAUCCGGAUUUAUUGGGUUUAAAGGGUGCGUAGGUGGGUUGUUAAGUCAGUUGUGAAAGUUUGCGGCUCAACCGUAAAAUUGCAGUUGAAACUGGCAGUCUGGAGUACAGUAGAGGUGGGCGGAAUUCGUGGUGUAGCGGUGAAAUGCUUAGAUAUCACGAAGAACUCCGAUUGCGAAGGCAGUUCACUGGACUGCAACUGACACUGAGGCUCGAAAGUGUGGGUAUCAAACAGGAUUAGAUACCCUUGUAGUC